Molecule: ribosomal RNA, 597 nt
Filed under: uncultured Actinomycetes bacterium
Lineage: Bacteria; Bacillati; Actinomycetota; Actinomycetes
Description: bacterial SSU rRNA
Rfam family: Bacterial small subunit ribosomal RNA
Source: RNAcentral
GAUGGCCUACCAAGGCGACGACGGGUAGCCGGCCUGAGAGGGCGACCGGCCACACUGGGACUGAGACACGGCCCAGACUCCUACGGGAGGCAGCAGUGGGGAAUAUUGCGCAAUGGGCGAAAGCCUGACGCAGCGACGCCGCGUGAGGGAUGACGGCCUUCUGGUUGUAAACCUCUUUCAGCAGGGAAGAAGCGAAAGUGACGGUACCUGCAGAAGAAGCACCGGCUAACUACGUGCCAGCAGCCGCGGUAAUACGUAGGGUGCAAGCGUUGUCCGGAAUUAUUGGGCGUAAAGAGCUCGUAGGCGGUCUGUCGCGUCUGCUGUGAAAACUCAGGGCUUAACCCUGAGCUUGCAGUGGGUACGGGCAGACUAGAGUGCGGUAGGGGAGACUGGAAUUCCUGGUGUAGCGGUGAAAUGCGCAGAUAUCAGGAGGAACACCGGUGGCGAAGGCGGGUCUCUGGGCCGUAACUGACGCUGAGGAGCGAAAGCAUGGGGAGCGAACAGGAUUAGAUACCCUGGUAGUCCAUGCCGUAAACGUUGGGCGCUAGGUGUGGGGCUCAUUCCACGAGUUCUGUGCCGCAGCUAACGCAUUAAGCG